UACGUAGGGUGCAAGCGUUGUCCGGAAUUAUUGGGCGUAAAGAGCUUGUAGGCGGUUUGUCGCGUCUGCUGUGAAAUUUCGGGGCUCAACCCCCGAACUUGCAGUGGGUACGGGCAGACUAGAGUGUGGUAGGGGGAGACUGGAAUUCCUGGUGUAGCGGUGAAAUGCGCAGAUAUCAGGAGGAACACCGAUGGCGAAGGCAGGUCUCUGGGCCACUACUGACGCUGAGAAGCGAAAGCAUGGGGAGCGAACAGG
This 255-nucleotide ribosomal RNA is filed under the name uncultured bacterium. Its description in RNAcentral is "partial 16S ribosomal RNA". It matches the Rfam family "Bacterial small subunit ribosomal RNA", at positions 524 to 776 of the family's 1533-position model. The record is from RNAcentral.